RNAcentral lists this transfer RNA (73 nucleotides) under Meristogenys whiteheadi (Whitehead's Borneo frog). Its description in RNAcentral is "tRNA-Leu". It matches the Rfam family "tRNA". From Rfam's summary of the family: Transfer RNA (tRNA) molecules are approximately 80 nucleotides in length. Their secondary structure includes four short double-helical elements and three loops (D, anti-codon, and T loops). The record is from RNAcentral. Lineage: Eukaryota; Metazoa; Chordata; Amphibia; Anura; Ranidae.
GUUAGUGUGGCAGAGAUAGGUCAUGCAAAAGGUCUAAGCCCUUUCAACUUGGGUUCAAAUCCCCUCAUUAACU